RNAcentral lists this ribosomal RNA (457 nucleotides) under Curvularia affinis. Its description in RNAcentral is "eukaryotic LSU rRNA". The stretch from base 121 to 274 matches the Rfam family "5.8S ribosomal RNA". The record is from RNAcentral. Lineage: Eukaryota; Fungi; Ascomycota; Dothideomycetes; Pleosporales; Pleosporaceae.
ACCCUUGUCUUUUGCGCACUUGUUGUUUCCUGGGCGGGUUCGCCCGCCACCAGGACCACAUGAUAAACCUUUUUUAUGCAGUUGCAAUCAGCGUCAGUACAACAAAUGUAAAUCAUUUACAACUUUCAACAACGGAUCUCUUGGUUCUGGCAUCGAUGAAGAACGCAGCGAAAUGCGAUACGUAGUGUGAAUUGCAGAAUUCAGUGAAUCAUCGAAUCUUUGAACGCACAUUGCGCCCUUUGGUAUUCCAAAGGGCAUGCCUGUUCGAGCGUCAUUUGUACCCUCAAGCUUUGCUUGGUGUUGGGCGUUUUGUCUUUGGUUGCCAAAGACUCGCCUUAAAACGAUUGGCAGCCGGCCUACUGGUUUCGCAGCGCAGCACAUUUUUGCGCUUGCAAUCAGCAAAAGAGGACGGCACUCCAUCAAGACUCUUUAUCACUUUUGACCUCGGAUCAGGUAG